UGUUGAGCAUGGACUGCAAUGCAACAGAAGGCCAUGAUGAAGACCAGCAGCUGCAGCAGACCAGCAUUCAAGCAGGACCAGAAGUAGCUAAAUUAUUUUGUUUACUUUUGUUCAUUUUGUAAUGCCAUCCAAACUAAACAUAACUAGACUUUUAGAGUUGUUAAGAUUUGAAUUGAUGGAUGUAAUAGCUAAAAUUUUUUAGCUUUCUUUUGUAUUACUUUAGUUGACAACUUGCCAAAAUAGGUGGGAGCAGUUACAAGUUUAGGUAACUGACAUUCUAAUUUUGUAACUCAUAUAUUUUCAAAUGAAAUGAAAAGAAGUAGCAUUCCAUUCAUUUUACAUUUUUUUUUGCUUUUUGAGUUUUCUGUUCUGUUUUCUGCUUGCUGCUCGUGAGCUUAUGCUCUUGGUGUUUUCAUUUGUUUGAUUUGCUGCUGCCAUUGUUCCAACAAAUGGUAAUCAGAGCCUCCUAUCUUUGAGGACCUCUGUUGUUUAUGUUUUAGUCUUUUUUCAAAGUCAGUCUUGGCAGCAUGAGUUUUGCUCCUCCUCCACCACCAGUUUUUGCUGGAGACAACUACCACAUUUGGGUUGUCAAAAUGAAGACAUAUCUUCAAGCACUUGACCUCUGGAGUGCAGUUGAGAGUGAUGUCGAACCAGCACCAUUAAGAGCAAAUCCUACCAUUGCUCAGAUCAGGCAACAUGGUGAGGAACGAGCCAAGAAACACAAAGCUAUGGCCUGUUUGCAGAAUGGAAUAUCAGAUGUUAUUUUCACUCGUAUAAUGGCCUGUGACUCUCCCAAGCAGGCAUGGGACAGGCUAAAAGAGGAAUUUAUGGGAUCAGACAAGACCAGGCAGCAACAAGUCAUCAACCUUAGAAGGGAGUUUGAAAAUUUGAAGAUGAAGGAGUCAGAAACUAUCAAGCAAUAUUCUGAUAGGAUUAUGGCUACUGUCAACAAUAUUAGACUCCUUGGAGAAGAUUUCAGUGAUAGCAGGGUUGUUGAGAAGGUUAUUACCACCUUACCUGAAAGGUUUGAGUCAAAAAUCUCCUCAUUGGAGGACUCGAGAGAUCUCACAACCAUUUCUUUGUCUGAGUUGGUUAACUCACUCUAUGCACUUGAACAGAGAAGAGCAAGUAGGCAGGAGGAGAGUCUUGAAGGUGCUUUUCAAGCAAAGGUCAGAGAAGGCUCCAGCUCAAGCCAGAAAGCUAAGAAGCCUUGGUUUGAAAAGAAGGAAAAAUCAAAGAAAGAUGCCGGUAGAAGGAGGUUUCCACCAUGCAUUCACUGCAAGAAGACCAAUCACCUGGAAAAAUUUUGCUGGACCAGACCAGAUAUACAGUGUAGAAGCUGUAAGAAGUAUGGUCAUCAUGAGAAAAUCUGUAGAAGUCAUGAGAAGGCACAAGCACAACAAGUUCAAGCCAAGUCUGCCGAGGAUGUCCAAGCUCAGGAGGAGCAUGUAUUUACAGCUUCAUGUUAUGCAGCCAAAAGCAUGAGCAGCUGGCUUGUGGAUAGUGGCUGCUCACACCACAUGGCUGCAGAUGAGAGCCUUUUCAAGAAUCUUGACAGGAGCUAUGUCUCGAAGGUCAGGAUAGGCAAUGGCAACUUGAUUGAAGCAAAAGGUAGAGGUGAUGUGGUCAUUCACACUGGUUCAGGUAACAAAAUCAUUUCUGAUGUGCUCUAUGUGCCAGAAAUAGACCAAAAUUUACUCAGUGUAGGCCAGCUAGUCAAGAAAGGCUUUUCACUAGUUUUCAAGAAUGAUUCUUGUGUUAUAAGUGAUGCUCAUGGAAGGGAGAUUGUCUCAGCACCUAUGGGAGAUAAAUGUUUUAUGCUGGAAGUGAGUCAGCUUGAGAAAAGUGCAUAUACAAGCUCAGUUGACAAUACUGAUCUUUGGCACAAGAGGUUUGGCCAUGUUAGCCUCAAAUCACUUGAUUUGCUGCACAAAAUGAACAUGACAGUAGACAUGGUGAAGUUUAGUGCAAGUGAAGGCGUUUGUGAGGUGUGUCAGCUUGGCAAACAAGCCAGGUUGCCCUUUUCAGCUAACCAAGCAUGGAGGGCUCGAGAAAGACUUGAGUUGGUACACUCAGAUGUCUGUGGACCAAUGAAGACCCCUUCACUGAAUGGCAGUAAGUAUUUUAUACUGUUUAUUGAUGAUCUAACCAGAUUUUGCUGGGUUUAUUUCAUGAAACAGAAGUCAGAAGUGUUUGAAGUUUUUAGAAAGUUCAAGGCAUUGGCAGAAAAUCAAACAGGCUGCAGGAUUAAGGCCUUGAGGACAGACAAUGGUUCUGAAUACUUGUCUGAAAGAUUUGAGAAGCUAUGUGAGCAGGCUGGGAUUCAUCAUCAGUUAACCACAGUGUACACUCCUCAGCAAAAUAGAGUGUGUGAGAGGAAGAACAGAACAGUGAUGAACAUGACCAGGUGCAUGUUGUUUCAAAGCAAGCUUCCAAGCAUUUUUUGGGCUGAAGGUGUCAACACCUCAGUAUACCUGCUCAAUAGGCUGCCAACACAUGCUGUGAAUGAUAAAACUCCUUUUGAAGUAUGGUAUGAUCUUAAACCAACUGUUUCUCAUUUAAAAGUGUUUGGUUGCAAGUGUUUUGUACUUGUCCCUGUAGAAAAAAGAACCAAGCUCGAGAAGAGGUCAGUUCCUGGUAUAUUUGUUGGUUACAGUAGCUGCAAGAAGGGCUACAGAGUAUUUGAUCCUUCAACCAAGAAGAUUUUGGUAAGCAGGGAUGUCAAAUUCGAUGAAGGAAGGUUUUGGAGUCUAGAUGACUCUAACACAAGUCAGUUUGAAGAAGAGCAGAUUAGCAGCAAUUUGGAAUUGGCAGAAAAUGAAGUCAGUAAUGCCAAUGUAGAUGAUGCUCCUGUGAGAGGGACCAGGUCUAUUGCUGAUAUCUAUCAAAGGUGCAAUGUGGCCAUUGUUGAGCCUUCAAGCUAUGAAGAAGCUGCUAGAAGCAAGAGCUGGAAGAAGGCUAUGGAGGCUGAAAUCGACAUGAUCCAUAAGAAUGAUACUUGGGAUCUGGUAGACAGACCAGAUCAGAAGAAAGUCAUAGGUGUCAAGUGGGUUUUUAGGACCAAAUUCAAUGCAGAUGGCUCUCUGAACAAGCACAAGGCAAGGCUUGUGGUGAAAGGGUACAAUCAACAGUUUGGCAUUGAUUUUGAGGAGACAUUUGCUCCAGUGGCAAGGCUGGAUACCAUAAAGCUUCUAUUUGCUUUCGCUGCACAGAAACAGUGGAAGGUCCAUCAGCUUGAUGUCAAGUCAGCUUUCCUGAAUGGCCUUCUUAAAGAAGAAAUUUAUGUUGAACAGCCUGAUGGAUUUAAAGUCCAAGGAAAGGAGAACAAGGUUUACAAGCUGAAGAAGGCACUCUAUGGACUAAAACAGGCUCCUCGAGCCUGGUAUGACAGGAUAGAUGCUUACCUGUUUAGGCUCAAUUUCGAGAAAAGUUUGAGUGAGCCAACUUUGUUUAUAAAGAAGUCUAAAGAUGAGACUUUGCUGAUUGUCUCAAUAUAUGUGGAUGAUCUAUUAGUGACUGGAAGCAGGGUCGAUUUGAUUCAGGAGUUCAAGAAGAAUAUGCAAAACAUGUUUGACAUGACAGACUUGGGAAUCAUGACUUACUUCCUUGGUAUGGAAGUAGACCAGACUGAUCAAGGCAUUUUUAUCAGCCAGCAUGCAUUUGCCUUGAAAAUUCUCACUAAGUUCCAUAUGGAAAAUUGCAAGCCAGUGGGUACACCUUUAGUCAUGGGACAGAAGUUGAGCAGCUAUGGAGAUGAAGAAAAGGUGGAUGAAAGAGAGUAUAGAAGUCUAAUUGGAUGUUUGCUAUACUUGACAGCAACUAGACCUGACCUUAUGCAUUCGGUCAGUUUGCUAUCUCGUUUUAUGCAUAGCUGCAACACAUCACAUUUAAAAGCUGCAAAGAGAAUCCUCAGGUAUGUGAAAGGAUCCUUGAAGUUUGGAGCGAUGUUCAAGAUAGGAGGUCAGCUGAAGUUAUCUGGUUACUCAGACAGUGACUGGGGAGGUUCGAUUGAUGAUAUGAGGAGUACCUCAGGCUACCUCUUUUCUCUUGGUUCAGGAGCUUUCUGUUGGAGCUCUAGAAAACAGCAAACUGUUGCUCAAUCAACUGCUGAGGCAGAGUACAUAGCAGCAGCUGGAGCAGUAAGCCAAGCCAUUUGGCUUAGAAAAUUGUUGUGUGACUUGAAUGAGGAACAAUUUGAGCCUACUGAGAUUAUGGUUGAUAAUCAAUCAGCAAUAGCUAUCUCCAAGAAUGCUGUUUUUCAUGGCAAAACAAAGCACUUUAAGCUCAAAUUUUAUUUUGUUCGAGAGGCAGUACAAUCAAAGGAUGUGAAUCUUGCAUAUUGUAGUUCACAAGAUCAAUUGGCUGACAUUUUGACAAAGCCUCUUGGUGCUAUGAGGUUUGAAAUUCUUAGAGAUUUAGUUGGUGUUUGUUGCCUACAGUCCAAGGAGGAGUGUUGAGCAUGGACUGCAAUGCAACAGAAGGCCAUGAUGAAGACCAGCAGCUGCAGCAGACCAGCAUUCAAGCAGGACCAGAAGUAGCUAAAUUAUUUUGUUUACUUUUGUUCAUUUUGUAAUGCCAUCCAAACUAAACAUAACUAGACUUUUAGAGUUGUUAAGAUUUGAAUUGAUGGAUGUAAUAGCUAAAAUUUUUUAGCUUUCUUUUGUAUUACUUUAGUUGACAACUUGCCAAAAUAGGUGGGAGCAGUUACAAGUUUAGGUAACUGACAUUCUAAUUUUGUAACUCAUAUAUUUUCAAAUGAAAUGAAAAGAAGUAGCAUUCCAUUCAU
RNAcentral lists this long non-coding RNA (4786 nucleotides) under Gossypium barbadense (sea-island cotton). RNAcentral describes it as "long non-coding RNA (GBAR_LNC016864)". The record is from RNAcentral. Lineage: Eukaryota; Viridiplantae; Streptophyta; Magnoliopsida; Malvales; Malvaceae.